RNAcentral lists this ribosomal RNA (468 nucleotides) under uncultured bacterium. Its description in RNAcentral is "partial 16S ribosomal RNA". It matches the Rfam family "Bacterial small subunit ribosomal RNA", at positions 28 to 507 of the family's 1533-position model. The record is from RNAcentral.
GAUGAACGCUGGCGGCGUGCUUAACACAUGCAAGUCGAACGGUGAAGGCGGAGCUUGCUCUGCUGGAUCAGUGGCGAACGGGUGAGUAACACGUGAGCAAUCUGCCCCUGACUCUGGGAUAAGCGCUGGAAACGGCGUCUAAUACUGGAUACGAGCUGCGAAGGCAUCUUCAGCAGCUGGAAAGAAUUUCGGUCAGGGAUGAGCUCGCGGCCUAUCAGCUUGUUGGUGAGGUAAUGGCUCACCAAGGCGUCGACGGGUAGCCGGCCUGGGAGGGUGACCGGCCCCCAGGGGCCUGAGAGACGGCCCAGACUCCAACGGGGGGCAGCGGGGGGGAAUAUGGAACAAUGGGGGAAAGCCUAAGGAGGCAACGCCGGGUGGGGAAGGACGGCCUUCGGGUUGUAAACCUCUUUUAGCAGGGAAGAAGCGAAAGUGACGGUACCUGCAGAAAAAGCGCCGGCUAACUACGUG